This 1758-nucleotide ribosomal RNA is filed under the name Escherichia coli XH001. Its description in RNAcentral is "bacterial LSU rRNA". It matches the Rfam family "Bacterial large subunit ribosomal RNA", at positions 524 to 2268 of the family's 2925-position model. Lineage: Bacteria; Pseudomonadati; Pseudomonadota; Gammaproteobacteria; Enterobacterales; Enterobacteriaceae. The record is from RNAcentral.
CCCCGGCGAGGGGAGUGAAAAAGAACCUGAAACCGUGUACGUACAAGCAGUGGGAGCACGCUUAGGCGUGUGACUGCGUACCUUUUGUAUAAUGGGUCAGCGACUUAUAUUCUGUAGCAAGGUUAACCGAAUAGGGGAGCCGAAGGGAAACCGAGUCUUAACUGGGCGUUAAGUUGCAGGGUAUAGACCCGAAACCCGGUGAUCUAGCCAUGGGCAGGUUGAAGGUUGGGUAACACUAACUGGAGGACCGAACCGACUAAUGUUGAAAAAUUAGCGGAUGACUUGUGGCUGGGGGGGGAAGGCCAAUCAAACCGGGAGAUAGCUGGUUCUCCCCGAAAGCUAUUUAGGUAGCGCCUCGUGAAUUCAUCUCCGGGGGUAGAGCACUGUUUCGGCAAGGGGGUCAUCCCGACUUACCAACCCGAUGCAAACUGCGAAUACCGGAGAAUGUUAUCACGGGAGACACACGGCGGGUGCUAACGUCCGUCGUGAAGAGGGAAACAACCCAGACCGCCAGCUAAGGUCCCAAAGUCAUGGUUAAGUGGGAAACGAUGUGGGAAGGCCCAGACAGCCAGGAUGUUGGCUUAGAAGCAGCCAUCAUUUAAAGAAAGCGUAAUAGCUCACUGGUCGAGUCGGCCUGCGCGGAAGAUGUAACGGGGCUAAACCAUGCACCGAAGCUGCGGCAGCGACACUAUGUGUUGUUGGGUAGGGGAGCGUUCUGUAAGCCUGUGAAGGCGUACUGUGAGGGAUGCUGGAGGUAUCAGAAGUGCGAAUGCUGACAUAAGUAACAAUAAAGCGGGUGAAAAGCCCGCUCGCCGGAAGACCAAGGGUUCCUGUCCAACGUAAAUCGGGGCAGGGUGAGUCGCCCCCUAAGGCGAGGCCGAAAGGCGUAGUCGAUGGGAAACAGGUUAAUAUUCCUGUACUUGGUGUUACUGCGAAGGGGGGACGGAGAAGGCUAUGUUGGCCGGGCGACGGUUGUCCCGGUUUAAGCGUGUAGGCUGGUUUUCCAGGCAAAUCCGGAAAAUCAAGGCUGAGGCGUGAUGACGAGGCACUACGGUGCUGAAGCAACAAAUGCCCUGCUUCCAGGAAAAGCCUCUAAGCAUCAGGUAACAUCAAAUCGUACCCCAAACCGACACAGGUGGUCAGGUAGAGAAUACCAAGGCGCUUGAGAGAACUCGGGUGAAGGAACUAGGCAAAAUGGUGCCGUAACUUCGGGAGAAGGCACGCUGAUAUGUAGGUGAAGCGACUUGCUCGUGGAGCUGAAAUCAGUCGAAGAUACCAGCUGGCUGCAACUGUUUAUUAAAAACACAGCACUGUGCAAACACGAAAGUGGACGUAUACGGUGUGACGCCUGCCCGGUGCCGGAAGGUUAAUUGAUGGGGUUAGCCGCAAGGAAGCUCUUGAUCGAAGCCCCGGUAAACGGCGGCCGUAACUAUAACGGUCCUAAGGUAGCGAAAUUCCUUGUCGGGUAAGUUCCGACCUGCACGAAUGGCGUAAUGAUGGCCAGGCUGUCUCCACCCGAGACUCAGUGAAAUUGAACUCGCUGUGAAGAUGCAGUGUACCCGCGGCAAGACGGAAAGACCCCGUGAACCUUUACUAUAGCUUGACACUGAACAUUGAGCCUUGAUGUGUAGGAUAGGUGGGAGGCUUUGAAGUGUGGACGCCAGUCUGCAUGGAGCCGACCUUGAAAUACCACCCUUUAAUGUUUGAUGUUCUAACGUGGACCCGUGAUCCGGGUUGCGGACAGUGUCUGGUGGGUAG